AGAUUCACUCUGGCCAAGGAACUCGGCAAAAUAACCCCGUAACUUCGGAAGAAGGGGUGCUCUCUAGGGUGACAUGUUUAACAUAUGAAGCCCCGGGGAGCCGCAGUGAAUUGGUGGUGGCGACUGUUUACUAAAAACAUAGGUCUGUGCGAAGUCCUAAAGACGACGUAUACGGACUGACGCCUGCCCGGUGCUGGAAGGUUAAAAGGAGGGGUCAGCGCAAGCAAAGCUCCGAAUUGAAGCCCCAGUAAACGGCGGCCGUAACUAUAACGGUCCUAAGGUAGCGAAAUUCCUUGUCGGGUAAGUUCCGACCUGCACGAAUGGCGUAACGAUCUCCACACUGUCUCGGCCAGAGACUCGGUGAAAUUGCAGUCGCGGUGAAAAUUCCGUGUACCCGCAGAAAGACGGAAAGACCCUGUGCACCUUUACUAUAGCUUGACAUUGGAUUUUGGGCCUGCAUGUGUAGGAUAGGUGGGAGGCUGUGAACCCUGUACGCCAGUAUGGGGGGAGCCAUCCUUGAAAUACCACCCUUGCAUGUUUAAGAUCCUAACUUCUUCCGGUUAUCCCGGAGAAAGACAGUGUCUGGCGGGUAGUUUGACUGGGGCGGUCGCCUCCUAAAGUGUAACGGAGGCAUGCAAAGGUUCCCUCAGCCUGAUCGGAAACCAGGCGCUGAGUGCAAACGCAUAAGGGAGCUUGACUGUAAGAGAGACAUCUCGAACAGGAACGAAAGUUGGCGUUAGUGAUCCGGUGGUCCCGAAUGGAAGGGCCAUCGCUCAUUGGAUAAAAGGUACGCCGGGGAUAACAGGCUGAUCGCAUCCAAGAGUUCACAUCGACGAUGCGGUUUGGCACCUCGAUGUCGGCUCAUCACAUCCUGGGGCUGAAGCAGGUCCCAAGGGUACGGCUGUUCGCCGUUUAAAGUGGUACGCGAGCUGGGUUUAAAACGUCGUGAGACAGUUUGGUCCCUAUCUUCUGUGGGCGAAGGAGAAUUGAGAGGGCCUGUCCCUAGUACGAGAGGACCGGGAUGGACGCACCCCUGGUGAUCCUGUUGUCGCGCCAGCGGCAUAGCAGGGUAGCUAUGUGCGGAAGGGAUAACCGCUGAAAGCAUCUAAGCGGGAAGCCUGCCUCAAGAUAAGUUCUCCCCUCGAAAGAGCUGAAGGGCCCGGGUAGACUACCCGGUCGAUAGGCUGGAGGUGUAAGCGCGGCGACGUGCUCAGCUGACCAGUACUAAUAGCCCGAGCGGCUUAUUUUU
RNAcentral lists this ribosomal RNA (1249 nucleotides) under human gut metagenome. RNAcentral describes it as "bacterial LSU rRNA". It matches the Rfam family "Bacterial large subunit ribosomal RNA", at positions 1693 to 2925 of the family's 2925-position model. The record is from RNAcentral.